Molecule: long non-coding RNA, 1927 nt
Filed under: Marmota monax (woodchuck)
Lineage: Eukaryota; Metazoa; Chordata; Mammalia; Rodentia; Sciuridae
Source: RNAcentral
AGCCCUGCUGCCCCCUGCCCCCCCCCCCCCCNCAGCUGAGGUCAUCACGACCUUCCCCUUGGGGACAUGGCACUCCCACUCAGGCAGGAGGCUCCCCUGGGGAGCGAUCCUCAAUACCGGGGUACAACCACUCCCAUGAGCCAUGGUCCACUACCUGGAUCCCCGUCCUGGUCCUUUACUGGUUCAAAUGGCUAUUGCAGGGAACUGAGGCUGUCACUCUCGGUCCUGGGUGACCUGGGUUCAGAGCAACCAGGUCUACGGAUGUGUCCACACCUUCUCAGCCAGAAGAGCCCAGACGCUCUGGUUGCUUCCAGGCGCCUCCAUAGUCACACCCGCCACUCCUCAGGGAGCCGGGUCUUCCCGGGCCCUGAACACCGUGAUUGUUGACCCUUCUCCUUGCUUGGUCCAUUCACUUCUGCAGGUGUGGAUCCUGUCCCUCUUUCAAGGUGAAAAUCAAAUGCUUCCUCUGGUUAAGCCUCCAGAUCACUCCGGGACUCCACCUGUUUCCUGCGGGUUUUGUUGUUGUUGUUUGUUUUAUGCUAAACAACUUUAUUUUCUUUUGGUUUAAGGCUUAGGAGGGGCUCCAUGGUGGUGAAAAAGCUGCCCAGGGGUUAGAGGGAGAGGCUCAGGCCCAACCCCAAGGCCAGGAGAUGCAGAGGAGCCAUCAAAGGCCACGCACUCCAGGGCCUCUAGUUGCUCUUGAGGUCGAGCCUUUCAAGUCUCGCCCAGGCCAGCCUGGGCCCCGACGGCAGAGGUCAGUCAUGUGGUCGCCCCUCUUUUGAUGAGCUUCACCUCCUCGUCAAGGAUGUGGCUCUCCAGAAAGUCACAGAGAUGUGGGUCUGUGUGGGUGGAACCCAAGGCAUGAAGAUCCAGAAGGGCUUGGUUCUGGAUCCUCUCCAGGGCCAAGGCAGCGUCCAUGGUGUCCAGGGUGUCGCCUCCUCCUCUGAGAAGGCUUCAGCAUGUUCUGGAAGAGGGUGUGGCCGCCGCUCUGGUUUUGCCUCAUCAGGAGACACUCAGAGGCCUCGCGCUUUCCCUCGGCCCGGGCCCUCCAGAGCCACAUGGUCCAGUGGAAACAGCAGCCCAGAGAGAGGCAGGUGCAGGAGGAGCGCAGAUGCCAACUGACAGGCCGAUGAGGGCCACCUCCACCUUGGUGGAGUGAUUUUUAUGAAUCCGGGAGUUCAAGGUUGGUCAUCCCAAAGUAGCUACCCCCCAAACCGGUGUUGGCUGGUCCUGGAAGCAGGGGAUAGGCAAGAUGGCCCCAGAGACUGCACAUGGACAUCAGAGUGGAAGCUGGAAGGAGAGGGGGUCCCCUAGUCUGUCCACCCAAGCACCGUUGAAGAAGACAGAUCUAGGCGCCGUGGUUCCUGUUGGCUUGGUGGACGUACAGUUCUUAUGUCCAUCAGCACUCGCCCAGUGCCACCUUACAUCAGGUACCCUUUGAUUAAUGCCCUUUCACUAGAUAAACUCUUUAGGGGCGUUUUAGCCACAAGUAAAGGAAAAAAUAAUAGAGGCUUUAUUUCCCAUAAAUUCCAUUGGUUUUUCAAUGGAGCCAGUCCCUCCUGCUUUGUCACAGUGCCACAUGGGGCAUCCACCAACAAGGUCUUCAUUGUCCAAGGUGGGUCCAGCCAUUACAUCUCAAUUCCAGGCUGCAACAUGGACAAAGAAACAAAGAAAUACUCUUCCCUUUAGGGACACUGCCUGGAACUUACACCUACAUUCCCUUAACCAGACCUCAUGUAGUCACUCAUAGUUACAGAAGGGGUCUCAAAAAUCAGGCUGAUUCCAGCUGGCCAUAGCUGUGGGUCUGUGUGGAUAGAAUCCAAGGCUUGAAGAUCCAGAAGGGCUUGGUUCUGGCUCUUCUCCGGGCCAGUCCUGUUCCUGAAAAUAAAGUGGUGAAUGAAUUCUGGUCAUCUCUGUUACAAAGGGC